RNAcentral lists this ribosomal RNA (200 nucleotides) under uncultured prokaryote. RNAcentral describes it as "partial 16S ribosomal RNA". It matches the Rfam family "Bacterial small subunit ribosomal RNA", at positions 1183 to 1382 of the family's 1533-position model. The record is from RNAcentral.
GGUCAAAUCAUCAUGCCCUUUAUGUCUUGGGCAACACACGUGCUACAAUGGCUACAACAAAGUGAAGCUAAGCAGUGAUGCCAAGCCAACCACAAAAAAGUAGUCUCAGUUCGGAUUGCAGUCUGCAACUCGACUGCAUGAAGCUGGAAUCGCUAGUAAUCGCGGAUCAGCAUGCCGCGGUGAAUACGUUCCCGGGCCUU